RNAcentral lists this unclassified non-coding RNA (220 nucleotides) under Acaulospora lacunosa. Its description in RNAcentral is "partial contains 5.8S ribosomal RNA and internal transcribed spacer 2". The stretch from base 1 to 71 matches the Rfam family "5.8S ribosomal RNA", at positions 84 to 154 of the family's 154-position model. Lineage: Eukaryota; Fungi; Glomeromycota; Glomeromycetes; Diversisporales; Acaulosporaceae. The record is from RNAcentral.
GUGAAUCAUCAAAUCUUUGAACGCAAAUUGCACUCUCUGGUAUUCCGGGGAGUAUGCUUGCUUGAGGGUUAGUUUGUUACAAUCGUAAAAAGAAAUUUUUACGGCUCUGGAUUUUCCAAAAGUUAUUUUUUUGGUAAUCUAAGAUUUAAAAUAACCAUAGGUUAUAUUGGAAAUGUUUAUUUUUGAUUAAUUAUCAAUUCUUUCUAUCUUAGUCGCGACG